This 225-nucleotide long non-coding RNA is filed under the name Elaeis guineensis (African oil palm). RNAcentral's name for it is "long non-coding RNA (EGUI_LNC006788)". Lineage: Eukaryota; Viridiplantae; Streptophyta; Magnoliopsida; Arecales; Arecaceae. The record is from RNAcentral.
UCUCUUUUCCAACAACACUUUCAAACUACUCUGUCAAAACAUUAAAAACAAGUUUAGAUUCCAACACUAUAAACACCAAAUGCACCUACAGAACAUAAUGCUUUGGGUAUGGAUUUAUUUUUUAUUUCAUAAUGCUUUAUUUGGGACAACUUGCAUGCACACACAACAAUUGCAGGGUACUAUCAAAACUUAUACUUGCAAGUUCCUUUUUAACCAAUUGGUAGG